CUGCGAAUGGCUCAUUAUAUAAGUUAUCGUUUAUUUGAUAGUACCUUACUACUUGGAUAACCGUGGUAAUUCUAGAGCUAAUACAUGCUAAAAAUCCCGACUCCGGAAGGGAUGUAUUUAUUAGAUUAAAAACCAAUGCCCNUCUGGGCUCUCUGGUGAUUCAUGAUAACUUCUCGAAUCGCAUGGCCUUGCGCCGGCGAUGGUUCAUUCAAAUCUCUUCCCUAUCAACUUUCGAUGUUUGGGUAGUGGCCAAACAUGGUUGCAACGGGUAACGGAGGGUUAGGGCUCGACCCCGGAGAAGGAGCCUGAGAAACGGCUACUACAUCCAAGGAAGGCAGCAGGCGCGCAAAUUACCCAAUCCCGAUCCGGGGAGGUAGUGACAAUAAAUACUGAUACAGGGCUCUUUUGGGUCUUGUAAUCGGAAUGAGUACAAUUUAAAUCCCUUAACGAGGAACAAUUGGAGGGCAAGUCUGGUGCCAGCAGCCGCGGUAAUUCCAGCUCCAAUAGCGUAUAUUAAAGUUGUUGUGGUUAAAAAGCUCGUAGUUGAACCUUGGGCCUGGCUGGCCGGUCCGCCUCACCGCGUGCACUGGUCCGGCCGGGCCUUUCCCUCUGUGGAACCCCAUGCCCUUCACUGGGCGUGGCGGGGAAACAGGACUUUUACUUUGAAAAAAUUAGAGUGCUCCAGGCAGGCCUAUGCUCGAAUACAUUAGCAUGGAAUAAUAAAAUAGGACGUGCGGUUCUAUUUUGUUGGUUUCUAGGACCGCCGUAAUGAUUAAUAGGGACAGUCGGGGGCAUCAGUAUUCAAUUGUCAGAGGUGAAAUUCUUGGAUUUAUUGAAGACUAACUACUGCGAAAGCAUUUGCCAAGGAUGUUUUCAUUAAUCAGGAACGAAAGUUAGGGGAUCGAAGACGAUCAGAUACCGUCGUAGUCUUAACCAUAAACUAUGCCGACUAGGGAUCGGACGAUGUUAUUUUNUNGACUCGUUCGGCACCUUACGAGAAAUCAANGUGCUUGG
Molecule: ribosomal RNA, 1014 nt
Filed under: Nigelia martialis
Lineage: Eukaryota; Fungi; Ascomycota; Sordariomycetes; Hypocreales; Clavicipitaceae
Description: SSU rRNA
Rfam family: Eukaryotic small subunit ribosomal RNA
Source: RNAcentral